Molecule: long non-coding RNA, 261 nt
Organism: Rhincodon typus (whale shark)
Lineage: Eukaryota; Metazoa; Chordata; Chondrichthyes; Orectolobiformes; Rhincodontidae
Exons: 3
Source: RefSeq, a predicted model, not a curated record
UUAGAUGUGAGUUUUUCCCUUGAACUGGUAAUCUUGAGCAAUAUCCUGAUGAGGGCAAGAUGAAAAGUUUCAACACAAUGCAUCUGUAUUCAAUACAGGGUGAAAAAGGGGCAAAAGGAUCUCGUGGUGACCCCGGGAAACCAGGCUUAUCGGGGAUCACAGGACCACCUGGGAAAAGAGGAGUGGCAGGACAGCCAGGAUUGAGGGGAAAGCCUGGGAAUGUCGGAAAGCCAGGAAUUCCUGGAAGUCCUGGGCGACCUG